This is a long non-coding RNA of Siniperca chuatsi (mandarin fish), 5908 nucleotides long. RefSeq lists it as uncharacterized. The record is from RefSeq and is a predicted model, not a curated record. Lineage: Eukaryota; Metazoa; Chordata; Actinopteri; Centrarchiformes; Sinipercidae. The transcript is spliced from 3 exons.
AGUUUCCAAAGGUAUAAAAUAUGUCAGGCUGAAUUGUUGGGUUUAAUGAUAAUAAACUGUGCGCAAAAGAUCCUUUCUGCGCACCAGCUGUUUCCAUGUGUGUGGGGGCUCCUUAAUAAAGGCUAAUAUGUUUAUUUGUUUUUUUAAGUGUAGUUAAGUCUUAAGGGGGAAUUUAAGAGGGAAACCAAGAGGUUAUGACACAGACUGGUGUUUUUAUUACACGGUCUAACAUUAGACAAUGACUGAAUGAAAAGAGUUAUUAAGAUGUUGUGACGUUUCAUCAGUAACGUUUGUGAACAGUUAUGAUCAACUGAGAAACACAAAAUUGUUAUAUCUUACCUCAAAGUCAAACUGAAAUUUGGCGAAUAUGGUCAAAACGGCUUGUUCCUUAAAAAAUAUAAGCGAUUCGUACAGUAUUCAGUUCUGUUCGUGCGGUUAGACAUGACCCAGCAAAGCUGCAUUUAAACGGACCGAGUGCAGAUGAACGGUCACCUGUGUGUUGUAGUUGCAGGUCAGUUUAUGUAGCCGCAGGUGGUGUCGCACGUCAUAACGCGUUGACGUCACAAAUGACAUUUUUUUUUGGCGUCACAAAGGAAUCGAAUUCUGCCAGACAUCAAAGCAGCUCAAAGUGAGAAAUCACGCACACGGAGCGACACGCAAACUUUAGUUUGUUUAAACGACUGCGAAGAGCUGCCUCCUCAUCACGCCUCGGGAAAUGCGCAAAGUCAAGAGAGAGAGGCGCACAGACAAUCCAUCCUUCAGACAGAUGAUCUCUUUCAGCCUGUCUGUGAAGGCACAAGCCCUGAGAGGCAGACUGUGCUUUAACUGGAACAAACUCCUGAGCAGCACCACCAGCAGGAUGCUAAAGGCAACUACCAGCCUGACUGGCGGGACCUUCACCUGGCUGGAAAACCACAUCAACCAGAACAGGACGGGUUAUGUCAGAAGGUGGGAGCACAAAAUCAUGACCAGACAGUUUCACGCUGCACUGAAAACCUCCUACAAGCUCAACAAAAUCUCUAAAAAGGAGAUGAAGGAGGCCAAGAGGAAGUGGAAACAGGCCAUUAAGAAGGUAAAAGAGGAGGACAAGAGGAGGAAAAAGCUGUGGUCAGAACAAAUCUGUGUGCCAGAGUCAAAUCAAUAACAAGAGAAAAUAGGAAAUAGGAAAGUGGAGGAGGAGAAAACAGAAAGCAUAGAAUAAAACUUGAUGAAAACAACUUGAAAACAGAAAUUUGUUGAUGCUGAGCGGAUGAUUGUGAAGCUACACGGUGCUUUAGAAGAAAAGACUUUAGGCAGACUGAGUGGACAGAAAGCAGAGCUCUGCUGGGCCUCAGCUGUGUGUUUGUUCAGUCUGCCAGUGACUCAAGUCCCAUCUGGAGCAAACAGAUCUGAAAAUGCCUGAAUGUUCUUCAGUGAAAGAAACGAUCCAGAAUGCAGAUAAUUUAAGCCUCAGGAGUCUCAGUCUGUUCAGCUUUGGAGGAAAUGAGGACUGAAGGAAUCCUGAUGCUCCAAACUGACAGCAGAGACCUGAAGAGGAAACAGAAACACUCUGCAGGUUCAUAGUCAACGCUACGUUUGCCUCAAGCUACCAAAAACAACCAGCAUUUUUCUGUCUGUGUUUUCCUGAAAAUAAACUCUUUACUACAUUGUUACAUUGUUAGAUACACAGUAGCUUUUUCAAAUUAGUUGAACAUGCAGGGAGGAUGCACAAGAAACAGAUGUAAAAAAGAAUGGUCAAAAAUCAGAGCAGCAGAGACAGAAAUACCCUGAUUUAUAGCCAAUAAUAUGGCUGAAGCGUCAAAAACACAGAAUGCUUCACUUUUGCACAUCUUUCGUUAGACCCUGCCUGUUAAAUGCUCACAUCUUUUAAACUCCACAGCACCAGUUUGUUACACAGGCUUUCUGUUAACCAGCCGGCAGUCUGCAGCCAUGGUAGCGGCUCUGUGAGGUUGUAAUGCUAACAUGCCCACAAUGACAAUGCUGAUGACAUGCUGAUGUUCAGCAGGUAUAAAGUUUACCUUGUUCACUAUCUCAGUAUGCUUACAUUUGCUAAGACUGCAAUUACAGUGGUUUCCUGAUUACUUAAAAUGCUAUCCAUGAGUUCUGAGUUUAUCAUUUAAACCUCCAUCUUCAUACAAAGUGUGAGUUCCAACAACAUGUGACUGCAGUGUUACUAAAUCAGACAGACCAGCAUUGUUUAGCAUCAUGUAGUGUUCAGACGAGUGUUAAAAGGCAAAAGCAGUGACCUAGUACAGUUUAAAAAUCUCACAAAUGUCUGUUGUCUUUUCAUGCACAACGGUUUCAAGAGUUUAUAGAGAGCGUUGUAAAAAAAUAUAUAUAUAUAUAUUUUUUUGUUAAGCUGGCACCAGAUCAUCAAAGCCAGCCUCUGUUUUACAACUCUUUCCAACUUUCUAUCUCCCUCCACUUAAAAUGCUAGAAGGACAAUGUGAGUGUCAUGGUGGGGGAGGAUAAACACAAACCAGAGAGAUAUUUCGCAACCUGGCAACCCAAAAGUUCUUAUUACUAAUGACUUAUAACUUAUGUAUAGGGCUUUAAUAAAUUUUUAAACAUUAAUAAAGCUGUUAGUUACAACUUAUAAAACCUUUAUAAAUGAUGCCUUAUUAGAAACUGGUUACAUUUUAAACCUGCAAUAAUUACUUUUUUUGCCACUUGGGGGCAGCGGAAAGAAGUUGUGAACACAACAUCGACAUAUCAUCACCUUUUAAGUUGAUAUGGUGAACUUGUUAUCAAACAUAUUGGUUGCAUAUUUAUCCAGCAUCCAGCAGUUAGGGAGCAACAUAAACAUUCAUUUGGAGACGUGUUUGUGUCCACCUGAUGAAUGUGAGUCCAAUUUUCACUCUUUUACCUCUGUUUUUGGUCUCCACCAACUCCUGAUGGGAAUAUUUGGCUCUUUAUCGGCUAAAUGCUCCACUAUGUUCACCAGCUGCUCUCUAACUGUGUCUGUCUGCUGUUUGCUGCUGAGCAGGUAGUGUACAGUGUCUUUUUAGAGCUUUCUCACUGAAAAUAGCUGCUACUGCAACUGAAAUUGACGCCUUGAGAGCGGUGAGAGUGAACCAAAACAGUAAAGUUGUGGACUGGACAGAUAAACAAUGAGCUGAAACUCUCAAUAAAGCUCUGUAAAGCCGAGGGGAGCUGCAGAUUCAGCUGGUAAUCUACAGCCAUGCUAGUGGCUCACUGAGACUAUAUGUCUGUGGACUCGGGGAAGACAACUGUGGUCCCAGGUUGACCUUUCCAGUCAGAGAACUACAUACAAGAGUAAAGUGCUGAAUUUCGGGACAUCAAUUACAAGAUUAAUCACUAAUAGAAAUAAAUAAAUCACUGAUAUAAAUACAACAACCUUAUGUAAACAACAUUGCCGGCAAUGUCACCAUAAACAAACAAAUCAAAAUGUCAUCAUCGACAAACAAAAAUCGCCACUGUUAGCCAGCAUCGUGAGACAUUGUCACAACCAUCAACAACAUUAUCAUUGCCACCAUCCUCAUCAUCAAGAAACAACACCACCACUACUACCUACCCCUCUGGCCUGAGUUCAGAAGGGAAAUGGCGAUGGGAAUGAAUGAGUGCCUGUAUCUAAUGUGCUUACAGGGGGAAAUCUGAACCGGGAGCCAUAAGGUAGGAUCUGAAACUCAGAAUGAAGGGGGUGGUUGCUGACUGAUAGGAUGGAUUUAGCCUUCCGCACUACCUUACUGUUGUACAGGUCAGUGAGGUUACUUUGCUGGACACCUAAUUUAACUUCUGACUUUCACUAUUUGGAAAGAGCAGUUUUGGCCUUGACAAUGAGAUUGCCAUACUAGCAGACCACACAAAAUGUUAAUAUAGAGUCAAUGUAAGAUUUGUAAAAGAGGGUCAUGAGGGUCUUAUUCACAUGAAAAAUUGACAGUUUGCAAAAAGAGCCAGCAACGACUGUUCUGUCUUUGUAAAGCAUCUCUGUGUUGGAAUUAAAAUUCAAUUUAUUGUCAAUUAAGCUACCAAGGUACUUGUAUGUUUCUACAACUUCUACCACCUGCCCCUUGAUGGUAGUGCUCUGAGGAGCGGAGGGCUUGCACCUUGUUUAGUGUGUUGCCAUACAAACAUUUGCUAAUUAGCACUAAACACAAAGUACAGCUGAGGCUGAUGAGAAUGUCAUUGCAGGUAUUUGGUCAUAAACCAGGUUUACGUAUUGGACAAACUACAGUUUUAAGCCAAUAUGGGGCUAGAGGAAAUGUCAGGGGAUCACCAAAGUUAUCACGAUUCAUCCUCGGGGCACCACAAAUGUCUAAAUUUCAUGGCAAUCCAUCCAAUAGUUGUUGAGACAUUUCAGUCUGGACCAAAGAGGGACACCAGCGGACCUAUAAUAACCUUGAUGACAUCACUCCAGUUAUUUUCUUAGACUUGACAGAGCUCCUCCAGGGCAACAGAAGACAUUAUACAACUGUUUUCACAGACUCAUGACUAGUAAAUUGGCAUGUAAAAUUAGUGGAGCACCCUUUCCAUUGCUAUACCUUAAAAGCCCCAUAAAAUGUCCAUCAAUGUAAAUGUGUUAAGUCAUGUGUGUAAUUAUAGCACAUUUGGGUUUUGAAAUUGAGUGUAAGCGAACCAUUUUGCAGGAAGGGCACUGACAGACGCAGGUGGUUUUAUUUGUUGUCAGUUUGCCAGAGAAACUGCUUUUACCAGUUCAGUAAAUAUUUCUGAGCAUAAAUCUAACUGGUGGGUCGAUACAUCAGCGAUUGUAAAAACAAUAUCUUGUUAAUGCCUCCAUAAUAAUUUAGAGAGCAUGCUUGGUGGGAGAAAACUGUAACCUCAAAAGGUUUAUGGCUGUAAAAAGCAGUAAAAAAAGCCACAAAGAAUAUAAUGGCUACAAUUUGGUGUCACAUUGCUUGUCAGGCAUUUAAACUACAAAUCUGAAAAGAAUGUUUUUCAGGAAGAAGAGCAUUCGCUUUUUCAUUGAUAUCCAUGAGUUCUGAGUUUAUCAUUUAAACCUUCAUACAAAGUGUGAGUUCCAACAACAUGUGACUGCAGUGUUACUAAAUCAGACAGACCAGCAUUGUUUAGCAUCAUGUAGUGUUCAGAUGAGUGUUAAAAAGGCAAAAGCAGUGACCUAGUACAGUUUAAAAAUCUCACAAAUGUCUGUUGUCUUUUCAUGCACAACGGUUUCAAGAGUUUAGAGAGCGUUGUAAAAAAUAUAUAUAUAAUUUUUUUUUUUGUUAAGCUGGCACCAGAUCAUCAAAGCCAGCCUCUGUUUUACAACUCUUUCCAACUUUCUAUCUCCCUCCAACUUUCCAACUACCUUCUCUAUGCACCUUGCAGUUGAAAUUGUGCAAGAAACAAAAAAAAGAAAUCAUUUUUGAAAAAUUUUGACUUAUUGACUGAUGAGUGAUCUCAGAGCACCUUCAUUUGCGAGUGUCCUCAUCAGAAACCACAUCUACUUUCCUACCAACAGUCAACACAGAUGUUUUUUAACCAUAGCCACCAUACUUCCUGAACUUUAACCAAGUUGUUUUAGUUGACUUAACCCACCUGAAUCAUAAAGGUGGCAGCAGAAAACACAUCGAUAAUAUCAAUCUUCUUUUUAACAGGCAUUUGUAAUGGUUUUGGUAGCCACUGACUAAUGAUGAUAGUCAGUGUCCAGUCUCCUGUUGACAGAGGCGCCAGAUCACAAAAUGUUCUUUUGGGUCGUUUCACAAAAGACACAUUUUGUCAUUAAGUUUGGAGGACCUGACCAAACUGAUUCAGGAUUUAAUAAACAAUUAAUCCAAUUAACUCUGAAAACACAGUCAACAUCCCUAAAAUAAAGCAUGAUGAAUCCCUUAAACACUGCAAUUUUUAAGAUGCUGUUGCUUAUUUAAAAAAGUUUUUAAAAACUGUUAGAAGUAGAAUACUCUCUUCUUUCCUUUAAUUCUGUUUACAG